GCCAGGCUCGGUGGUGCACCCCUGUAGUCCCAGCUACUCAAGAGGCUGAGACAGGAGGAUUGCUUGAGUCCAGAAGUUCUAGGCUGUAUUGCACUAUGCCAGUAGAGUGCCUGCACUAAGUUCAGCAUCAAUAUGGUGAACUUCCAGGAGUGGGGGAUCACCAGGUUGCCUAAUGAGGGGUGAACUAGCCCAGGUCAGAAAUGAAGCAAGUCAAAAAUACAUUUUCUAGAAAAAAAUUUAUUCCCUCAUCCAUUUAUGAAAUAAGAUAGACUUCCAGAAAAACUAAUUUAUUUUACCUUU
Cricetulus griseus (Chinese hamster) is the source of this 300-nucleotide unclassified non-coding RNA. It matches the Rfam family "Metazoan signal recognition particle RNA". From Rfam's summary of the family: The signal recognition particle (SRP) is a universally conserved ribonucleoprotein. The record is from Ensembl. Lineage: Eukaryota; Metazoa; Chordata; Mammalia; Rodentia; Cricetidae.